RNAcentral lists this long non-coding RNA (430 nucleotides) under Calidris pugnax (ruff). Its description in RNAcentral is "lncRNA (ENSCPUG00000012581.1)". Lineage: Eukaryota; Metazoa; Chordata; Aves; Charadriiformes; Scolopacidae. The record is from RNAcentral.
ACCUUUCCCAGCAAGGGCUCGUGGCCACAAACCAGCAGGAAGCAGCGUGUCCUCUCUUUGUAAGCCGUGCUAUUUAUUAGCUUGAGCCUCAUACAAACUUCUUUUGAUGAAACUCCAUGUGGCGUGAUUGAGAAGGACUUUUUACAUGACCAUAAGUUCAGCUGAUAUAAAAAUUCAAGGGGAUAAGGGACAGAUGCUCAGGCAUAUUACGUUGACCUAACGUUGGGCACAGGUGGGACAGGAACAGUCCUGGUGAGAAGAGGGGAGCAAUGGACCAAACCUGAGAGUCUCUGGUGCACAAACAGGAGAAGACAAAAGAAGGGAUCUGCUCCCAGAGCACUGAAACCUGGGAAACAGCAGUGAAGUAACUGUCACUUUACACAAUGCCUAAGUGGAUUUGAUCUUAAGGAUCACUCACACCUGAGAGUCA